GAUGAACGCUGGCGGCGUGCCUAAUACAUGCCAGUCGAGCGAACAGACGAGGAGCUUGCUCCUCUGACGUUAGCGGCGGACGGGUGAGUAACACGUGGAUAACCUACCUAUAAGACUGGGAUAACUUCGGGAAACCGGAGCUAAUACCGGAUAAUAUAUUGAACCGCAUGGUUCAAUAGUGAAAGACGGUUUUGCUGUCACUUCUAGAUGGAUCCGCGCCGCAUUAGCUAGUUGGUAAGGUAACGGCUUACCAAGGCAACGAUGCGUAGCCGACCUGAGAGGGGGAGCGGCCACACUGGAACUGAGACACGGUCCAGACUCCUACGGGAGGCAGCAGUAGGGAAUCUUCCGCAAUGGGCGAAAGCCUGACGGAGCAACGCCGCGGGAGUGAUGAAGGUCUUCGGAUCGUAAAACUCUGUUAUUAGGGAAGAACAAAUGUGUAAGUAACUAUGCACGUCUUGACGGUACCUAAUCAGAAAGCCACGGCUAACUACGUC
RNAcentral lists this ribosomal RNA (497 nucleotides) under uncultured bacterium. RNAcentral's name for it is "partial 16S ribosomal RNA". It matches the Rfam family "Bacterial small subunit ribosomal RNA", at positions 28 to 507 of the family's 1533-position model. The record is from RNAcentral.